Molecule: long non-coding RNA, 889 nt
Filed under: Rhipicephalus microplus (southern cattle tick)
Lineage: Eukaryota; Metazoa; Arthropoda; Arachnida; Ixodida; Ixodidae
Description: uncharacterized LOC119163053
Source: RNAcentral
UUGCAGGUUGUGCGAAGGGGUUUGUUGCUUGUCUUGUGCUACCGGAUUUAAACGUUUCCUGUGUGCAGCCUCUAUGCCUCUUCGAACUGUGCGGCAGGUGUGAAACAGAUGUGGUUCAGUAAAACCGUGAAAAGUCAUUUGAAAUGCGGGGUGCACCAAAAGUCACGUUCGUCAUUUGCGGAGACGGUUACCGCGCCGUUGUGGACAACCUCGAGAAGUGCUUCAUAUCGCUGAGCGUUGCCGAUAUGGCAAAAAAGGCCAUUAUCGGCAAAGUGAGCCGGGUAAGGACAUCAAGAAGAGCUGCUAUUACAGGGAUGUCCACCUUCUUUGAGAUGGAGAAAAAAACGACUCGCCGUGCAACACAAUCUUUUCUACCAGAGUGACUGUGAAAAGAACGUCAGAACUUGGAAGGUUUCAGUGAUAUCCUCCAGGUCAGGCACCUUCGGCAGAAACACUGCAGCUGCUGCUACCACCACCACGACCUAUAUUUCACUUCAGCCAUUGCUGCAUCACAACCAGUAUUACAACUUCUGAGCCGCUACCACAGUCCUUCCCAAUGAUGCCUCACCUUGACAGGGCUUCACAUGCUUCAAGAAGAAGCUGUCAGGCAAGUUCAUUUGAGAGGCAGAAGAAGGAGCAGUGGGCUUGGCUGCGGUCGUAAUGCAAGGAGGCUACAAAGCUCCUGUGGAGUGUCCUUCAGCUUCAGAACAAGAGCCUCAUAGUAGCCCCGCAUUGGAGUAUUUGUGCAUCAAGAGGACAAACAAGUGCCCCUGAGCGGGGCUCUGACAGCGAGAAAUUUGGAGGUUGUGGCUAGUGAUUAUUGCUUAAAGAGGUACUGACGCAAAUUUUUGUCUUGCAAUAUUAACAUUGUUGACAGCCUAUUAGUCAC